Non-coding RNA from Violaceomyces palustris, 94 nucleotides. Lineage: Eukaryota; Fungi; Basidiomycota; Ustilaginomycetes; Violaceomycetales; Violaceomycetaceae. The record is from the annotation of a GenBank genome assembly.
GCGUCUUUAGCUCAGUGGUAGAGUAUACGGUUGCAAUUCGCUUCUUUCGGAAUUGAAUCCCGUCUGGUCCCUGGUUCAAUCCCGGGAAGGCGCU